UUCACGGUUUCAAGCUUGCUAAUGGCAGUCUCUCUCUCUUCCAAAGACAGUUUCAAAUCUUCACAGUUCAGACUUCAGAUUCAUAAUGCCAGGGCUCUCAUGGCUCUUCCUUCCUCCAGAUGUUCAAGUCCUUUCAGUUGCUGCCGUUUCAAAAAAACCAAAGUGCCAUGACUACACAAUUGAAGAGCUCAUCACCAAGAGCUUCAAUAACGUCAUCUAGCAAUCAGAUUGGCUAGAUGAAUAUGGAGAAAGGUGAAUUUCAUGUAAGACGUGGUUGAGAUUUGUAAUAGAAAUUG
Long non-coding RNA from Quercus lobata, 296 nucleotides. RefSeq lists it as uncharacterized. The transcript is spliced from 3 exons. The record is from RefSeq and is a predicted model, not a curated record. NCBI's taxonomy places the organism in Eukaryota, Viridiplantae, Streptophyta, Magnoliopsida, Fagales, Fagaceae.